CAGUAGCCACGGGAAAACGAAGGGGGCUAGCGUUGCUCGGAAUGACUGGGCGUAAAGGGCGCGUAGGCGGCGGCCAAAGUCAGGCGUGAAAUUCCCGGGCUCAACCUGGGGGCUGCGUUUGAUACUUGGUUGCUUGAGUGGAGAAGAGGGUCGUGGAAUUCCCAGUGUAGAGGUGAAAUUCGUAGAUAUUGGGAAGAACACCGGUGGCGAAGGCGGCGACCUGGUCCUUUACUGACGCUCAUGCACGAAAGCGUGGGGAGCAAACAGGAUUAGAUACCCCAGUAGUCCCUGUCUCUUAUAC
Molecule: ribosomal RNA, 301 nt
Filed under: uncultured bacterium
Lineage: Bacteria
Description: partial 16S ribosomal RNA
Rfam family: Bacterial small subunit ribosomal RNA
Source: RNAcentral